GAAAUGGAUGGCGCUUAAACGUAUUACUUAUACUUUACAUUAAAAUAAAUGCUAAAUUUUAAUGAGUAGGAGGGCGUAUGGAUAAUAUCGAAGAUUAACAGUGAUGUUGGUUGGAAUUAUCUUUAGUGCAGAUCUUGGUGGUAGUAGCAAAUAUUCAAUAGAGAACAUUGAAGACUGAAGUGGAGAAAGGUUUCACAUGAACAACACUUGGAUGUGAGUUAGUCGAUCCUAAACGGUGGGUUAACUCCAAAUACAUGGAUACUUGUAUCCUGUACCGUGAAAGGGAAACAGGUUAAUAUUCCUGUACUAUAUCAAGGAGGUAAAGUGGUAACACAACUGAACUCAAAUACAUCAGUAGAAUAACCAGGAAGAGUUCUCUUUUCUUCUUAACAACUUCCCUGCAAAGGGUGUAUAAUGACCAUGGAAUCAAUUUAGUUGGAGAAAUGGUUAAAGAGUUGGCAG
RNAcentral lists this ribosomal RNA (462 nucleotides) under uncultured eukaryote. RNAcentral's name for it is "eukaryotic LSU rRNA". It matches the Rfam family "Eukaryotic large subunit ribosomal RNA", at positions 1315 to 1761 of the family's 3401-position model. The record is from RNAcentral.